AUGAACGCUGGCGGCGUGCCUAAUACAUGCAAGUCGAGCGAACAGACGAGGAGCUUGCUCCUCUGACGUUAGCGGCGGACGGGUGAGUAACACGUGGAUAACCUACCUAUAAGACUGGGAUAACUCCGGAAACCCGGACCAAUUCCCGAUAAAUUUAUUGAACCCAAUGUUUCACUAGUAAAAGAGGUUUUUGUGUUCACUAUUACAUGUAUCCGCGCAGCAUUAGCUAGUUGGUAAGGUAACGGCUUACCAAGCCGACGAUGCGUAGCCGACCUGAGAGGGUGAUCGGCCACACUGGAACUGAGACACGGUCCAGACUCCUACGGGAGGCAGCAGUAGGGAAUCUUCCGCAAUGGGCGAAAGCCUGACGGAGCAACGCCGCGUGAGUGAUGAAGGUCUUCGGAUCGUAAAACUCUGUUAUUAGGGAAGAACAAAUGUGUAAGUAACUAUGCACGUCUUGACGGUACCUAAUCAGAAAGCCACGGCUAACUACGUG
RNAcentral lists this ribosomal RNA (496 nucleotides) under uncultured bacterium. Its description in RNAcentral is "partial 16S ribosomal RNA". It matches the Rfam family "Bacterial small subunit ribosomal RNA", at positions 29 to 507 of the family's 1533-position model. The record is from RNAcentral.